CCUACGGGAGGCAGCAGUGGGGAAUAUUGGACAAUGGGGGGAACCCUGAUCCAGCCAUGCCGCGUGUGUGAAGAAGGCCCUCGGGUUGUAAAGCACUUUCAGUGACGAAGAACGCCUGGUGGUUAAUACCCAUCAGGAAAGACAUCACUCACAGAAGAAGCACCGGCUAACUCCGUGCCAGCAGCCGCGGUAAUACGGAGGGUGCGAGCGUUAAUCGGAAUUACUGGGCGUAAAGCGCGCGUAGGUGGCUUGAUAAGCCGGUUGUGAAAGCCCCGGGCUCAACCUGGGAACGGCAUCCGGAACUGUCAAGCUAGAGUGCAGGAGAGGAAGGUAGAAUUCCCGGUGUAGCGGUGAAAUGCGUAGAGAUCGGGAGGAAUACCAGUGGCGAAGGCGGCCUUCUGGACUGACACUGACACUGAGGUGCGAAAGCGUGGGUAGCAAACAGGAUUAGAUACCCCAGUAGUC
This 465-nucleotide ribosomal RNA is filed under the name Vreelandella stevensii. RNAcentral describes it as "partial 16S ribosomal RNA". It matches the Rfam family "Bacterial small subunit ribosomal RNA", at positions 338 to 795 of the family's 1533-position model. The record is from RNAcentral. Lineage: Bacteria; Pseudomonadati; Pseudomonadota; Gammaproteobacteria; Oceanospirillales; Halomonadaceae.